This is a small nucleolar RNA of Zingiber officinale, 84 nucleotides long. NCBI's taxonomy places the organism in Eukaryota, Viridiplantae, Streptophyta, Magnoliopsida, Zingiberales, Zingiberaceae. The record is from RefSeq and is a predicted model, not a curated record.
GUGCAGAUGAUGAUAAAUAUGGUAAUUUAGCACAGAGAGUUUUCUAUGAAGUUCCAAAAUCGAGCUUUUUAAAACUGAUGCACA